AAUAGAUACCCAGGUAGUCCAUGCCGUAACGUUGGGCACUAGGUGUGGGCUCAUUCCACGGAGUUCCGUGCCGCAGCAAACGCAUUAAGUGCCCCGCCUGGGGAGUACGGCCGCAAGGCUAAAACUCAAAGGAAUUGACGGGGGCCCGCACAAGCGGCGGAGCAUGCGGAUUAAUUCGAUGCAACGCGAAGAACCUUACCAAGGCUUGACAUGCACGAGAAGCCACCAGAGAUGGUGGUCUCUUUGGACACUCGUGCACAGGUGGUGCAUGGUUGUCGUCAGCUCGUGUCGUGAGAUGUUGGGUUAAGUCCCGCAACGAGCGCAACCCUCGUCCCAUGUUGCCAGCGGGUUAUGCCGGGGACUCAUGGGAGACUGCCGGGGUCAACUCGGAGGAAGGUGGGGAUGACGUCAAAUCAUCAUGCCCCUUAUGUCUUGGGCUUCACGCAUGCUACAAUGGCCGGUACAAAGGGCUGCGAUACCGUAAGGUGGAGCGAAUCCCAAAAGCCGGUCUCAGUUCGGAUUGGGGUC
This 528-nucleotide ribosomal RNA is filed under the name uncultured bacterium. Its description in RNAcentral is "bacterial SSU rRNA". It matches the Rfam family "Bacterial small subunit ribosomal RNA", at positions 777 to 1305 of the family's 1533-position model. The record is from RNAcentral.